Non-coding RNA from Danio rerio (zebrafish), 272 nucleotides. Lineage: Eukaryota; Metazoa; Chordata; Actinopteri; Cypriniformes; Danionidae. The record is from Ensembl.
GAACUGUGCAGACUGUUUUGCUUGAGAUAAGCUGAUAAGGCUCUGAGAUGAGGAGAAAGUUCUUACAAAGUCUCGUCUUCGCUCGGUUUCUCUGCAGACACGCAGCCCUUCCCAAAGGGGGAGAAUUGCUCCGCAGCCCAGACGAAAUCGAGUGCUGCUCAAAGAUUUAUCCUCGUCUUUUGAGUCGACUCUCGCUUUUCUCCUUCACUCUCUAGCUUGACAUCUCCGGGCCGGCGCUCCAUCCCUCUCUGAGCCACAAUUGAAAUGACAAG